CAGGGAGACAACAAAAUGUUUAAUAUUAUUUUGUCACCUUAGGUCGAUCGGUAUCUCACGUUUUUAACUAAUUAAGAAUUUCAAUUCCUAAGUUUUUCUAGGUCACACCCAUUAUUUUUCCUGGGCCAUUAGCUCAGGUGGUUAGAGCGCACCCCUGAUAAGGGUGAGGUCCCUGGUUCAAGUCCAGGAUGGCCCAUAUCUCUAUGUUGGGGGUAUAGCUCAGUUGGUAGAGCGCCUGCUUUGCAAGCAGGAUGUCAGCGGUUCGAGUCCGCUUACCUCCACUGAUUACCACCUCUUCCAUAAUUUGUUGAAAGGAAAUUUUUUGAGUUGUGAUCAACUUCUGAACGAAUCUAGCUUCCUAAUGAACGCAUUAAGAUGCUGGACUCAUUGAAUUAAUUUCAUUGUUUUCAGAGAACCUUGACAACUGCAUAGAUUAUUUUUUAAAGACAAUAAGCAUCUUUAAUGAUGCAGAUUUUUAUUUGUGCGAAUGCAUUAAUAACAAUUCUAUUAAGCUGAUGCUUCAAUUUUGAAGUUAUU
RNAcentral lists this transfer RNA (537 nucleotides) under uncultured Prochlorococcus sp. RNAcentral describes it as "partial 16S-23S ribosomal RNA intergenic spacer". The stretch from base 209 to 281 matches the Rfam family "tRNA". The record is from RNAcentral. Lineage: Bacteria; Bacillati; Cyanobacteriota; Cyanophyceae; Synechococcales; Prochlorococcaceae.